UGGCGCUGUGCUGCUGCGUCAGGUCUCCCAACCCUGCGGGGCCCCGGGCGCUGGGCGUGGGGUGGCUGCCGAAGGGGCUUGUUCCUGAGAUUUUUAUUUAACUGUUUUUUGCCCGUGCGGCCGGGCCGUGCCGUGCGGGGCCACAGGACGCCUUUUGGGCCGUUGGCUUCCUCGGGGUGUUUGCAUCGUUUCUUCAGGGGCGUCACGAUGCUGAAGAUGCUGGACUUCGAGAUCAUGGUGGCCAUCGGGGGCGGCCUGCUGGUAGCCGCCUUCGUGCUGCUGUGUGCCGUCAUCUGCCUCUACUGCAGAGUGAGCAACGCGCUGAAGAACCUAUGACCGCCCAUGGCGUCGGCACACAGGGCGGGCAGCGCGGCCUGGAAGGCCGUCCCCACGCUGGGCCGUGCCCUCGUGCUCCACCGCCAGGUGCCCAAGCGCCAGACCUCGGAGAGCGGCCCCGUGGCGCCUGCCCCCCCAGAGAGGGGGGCGCCCCUGUCUCCUGGCCACGGUUGUGGUGUGAAAUAUAGACUGGCUAUGUUGA
Talpa occidentalis (Iberian mole) is the source of this 538-nucleotide long non-coding RNA. RefSeq lists it as uncharacterized. The transcript has 3 exons. Lineage: Eukaryota; Metazoa; Chordata; Mammalia; Eulipotyphla; Talpidae. The record is from RefSeq and is a predicted model, not a curated record.